AAUCGGAAGUUCCCGUCGGGCGCCCAGGAUGGGCGUCAAGGGAAGAUGGUGAAAAUCCAUCGCUGCCCCGCAACUGUAACCGGCGACGAAAUCCGCGAAUAGGCCACCGGGGAUGGACCCCCAGGGAAGGCGCGGAGAGUAGGCUCGAACCGGAAGCCAGGAGACCGGCCCGACAGGGAUUUUCCCG
RNAcentral lists this non-coding RNA (187 nucleotides) under Deltaproteobacteria bacterium. The record is from RNAcentral. Lineage: Bacteria; Pseudomonadati; Myxococcota; Myxococcia.